CCUCUUCCUCCUUCUUCGGCUCAGCCUUCUUCCCCAGCUCCUCCGCGGUCCCUAGCCGCUCCAGGACCAACUCAGCCGGACUGGACUCGUCGGCGUUGUCGUGGGAUGGCGCCUCUUUAACCGGGCCUCUGGGCGUACUUAGCUUGCUGCAAAAGGAACCGCUCGUGACAUCAGGAGUUCCCUUUAAUAACGCAGAAAAACUCAGACAACACGGCACCUUCAGGGCAUGUUGUGAUCUGUGGGGGACACCGGAGUACCCGGAGGAAACCCACGCAUGCAUGGGGAGAACGCGCAACUCCACGCAGAAAGGCCGCAGCUGAGUUUCGAACCUGCAACCUUCGUGCUGCGAGGCAACAGUGCUAACAACUGCGCCACCGUGCAGCCAAUACUAUACUAUAUUACUAUAGAUGUAUAUUAGUAUGUUGUGUACCUUAUGCUGCAGUUCUGAAAAUGCAAGUUUCCUUUUUAUUUGUUGCUUUAGUGGUUGAAGAUUACGAUAACAGCUUACUGCAUGUGCUUUACUGUAAUCGUAUUAUUAUUUUCUUCUUUAUUAUCUCUAUGUGCUAACGAGUGAAAUUCCCUAUGGGAUCAAUAAAGUCUGUUUUCGAUUCUA
Long non-coding RNA from Nothobranchius furzeri (turquoise killifish), 613 nucleotides. RefSeq lists it as uncharacterized. Lineage: Eukaryota; Metazoa; Chordata; Actinopteri; Cyprinodontiformes; Nothobranchiidae. The record is from RefSeq and is a predicted model, not a curated record.